This 460-nucleotide ribosomal RNA is filed under the name uncultured bacterium. RNAcentral's name for it is "partial 16S ribosomal RNA". It matches the Rfam family "Bacterial small subunit ribosomal RNA", at positions 338 to 795 of the family's 1533-position model. The record is from RNAcentral.
CCUACGGGUGGCAGCAGUGAGGAAUAUUGGUCAAUGGACGCGAGUCUGAACCAGCCAAGUCGCGUGAAGGAUGACUGCCCUCUGGUUUGUAAACUUCUUUUAUAUGGGAAUAAAAUGUUUCACGUGUGUGAUUUUGUCUGUACCAUAUGAAUCCGGAUCGGCUAACUCCGUGCCAGCAGCAGCGGUACUACGGAGGGUCCGAGCGUUAUCCGGAUUUAUUGGGUUUAAGGGGAGCGUAGGUGGAUUGUUAAGUCAGUUGUGAAAGUUCGCGGCUCAACCGUGGAAUUGCAGUUGAAACUGGCAGUCUUGAGUACAGUAGAGGUGAGCGGAAUUCCUGGUGUAGCGGUGAAAUGCGUAGAUAUCACGAAGAACUCCAAUUGCGAAGGCAACUCACUGGACUGCAACUGACACUGAGGCUCGAAAGUGUGGGUAGCAAACAGGAUUAGAUACCCUAGUAGUC